AUAAUGAUACUUCCGGGUUGCGGGGAAACCGCAAUCCGGUCAAUGAAAUGACGGUGCAAGACCGAUGU
Lachnospiraceae bacterium is the source of this 68-nucleotide regulatory RNA element. It matches the Rfam family "pemK RNA". The record is from Rfam. NCBI's taxonomy places the organism in Bacteria, Bacillati, Bacillota, Clostridia, Lachnospirales, Lachnospiraceae.